This is an RNA transcript of Dendrobium catenatum, 9432 nucleotides long. It is a transcript of the gene named putative disease resistance protein RGA3, with no coding region annotated. Lineage: Eukaryota; Viridiplantae; Streptophyta; Magnoliopsida; Asparagales; Orchidaceae. The transcript has 4 exons. The record is from RefSeq and is a predicted model, not a curated record.
UGUCCCCCCCCCCCCCCCCCCCCCCAAUAAAAAAAGGCCAAGAAUAUUAAGUGCAGACAGCUGUGUCUUUCUGCAUGUGAUUUCCUUUGGACUUUAAUAUCAGCAAUUCAUUGGAAGACAGGGAAGCUUGCCAGCAAAAGCUGUAAAAAAACUGUCCAAAUGAAACCUAAGCGUGCGUUUGCUUGACUUGAUGUUAAGUUUUAUCGUUUAUGCGACGCCACAUUUGACCAUUUCCAGCUGGAAUUCCAUGGCGCUAUUGAUGUCUCCGAUAAGUUGUCGGAUUUUAAAGAAACGGUUGAGAUAAAGGAUGUAAUGAUUUCCCUUAUCUUAGCCAGGAUAUAGUCGUGAGCCAGUAGGCUAUCUAAUCUGCAUCUCUUCCAAUCUCCUUUUUUUCUUACUGUUCAGUUGUUCUGCUCUACAUCGAUCGUUGUUUCCAUGGAGGAAAUGUUUCUUGAUCCAAUUAUGGAGAAGAUCAUCAGCGCUGGCUUCCGUAACAACUCGAACGGAUUCAGUUGCACUCAUGUUUUCUAAUGCAAUUAAAAAGGAGGAAAUAGUUAAAUUAGAAGGCCUGGAGGAAGAUGAGUGCUUGCAGCUCCUCAACUCUCAUGCAUUUGCUGGUGUAGAGAACCCCCCUAAUGAUCAUAAAAAAAUUAAGAACCAUUGUUGGAGAGAGAGUUAAAAAGCUUUUAGGAUCUGCAUUGGCAGCUAAAGUAAUUGGUGGUGUUCUGAAGGACAACUUGGAUGAAAGGCAUUGGAGGAGAGUUCUAGAAAGCAAUUUAUUGAAUCAGAAUUCUAUCAAUUCCAUCUUAAGACUGAGCUAUAUAGUUCUGCCAAAUCAUCUACAAAAUUGUUUUGCAUUUUGCUGUAUGUUCCCAUAAGAUAAUGAGUUUAAUAAAGAUCAUUUAGUCUGAAUGUGGAUUGCAUUGGAUUUCAUUCAGCCAUCUCAAAGAAUGAUUUUGGAGGAUAUCGGAAGAAGAUAUUUUGAUGUUUUAGUCAAAAAAAGCUUUAUGAUGAAGAGUGAUCUCUAAAAAUUUUUGAGACUACUCGACAUUUGUUUGUUCUAACUAAAAAUUCAGACAUCUUAAAAAAAAUUGAGAAGUUUAAAUAUUUGCAUUUGCUUUUCUUGUUCUAUGGAAAUUUUAAUCAGGAUCUCAGCAGUGCACUUAUUGAAAUAUUUAAAGCAUCGAGAUACUUUUUAUUAUACAUAUUUACUGAUGAAUUGGAAAUGAUACCUGAGGAGAUUAAAUAUUUAAAAUUUGAAGAUUGAAAGAGUUGAAGUCUCUAGGCUACCAAGAUCUCUAAGUAAUCUCUAUUACUUGCAAUACAUAAUCUACGAUAAUUGGACGCCAACACGGCUUAAAGUUGAUGGAUUUUUACCAAGUGACAUUAAUAACCUUUCUAAUUUGCGUUACCUUGACUUUUCUGGGAAUUAUAUUUCAUCGAUAUAUGGGAUUGUGAAGCUAAACUCUCUUCUAGAAUUGUAUUGGUUUGAUCUUAGAAAUGAGAUGGGCUAUAGAAUUGAUGAGUUGAAGUAUUUGAAUGAUCUUUGCAAAUUAGGAAUCAACUGCCUUGAAAGUGUGAAGGACGCCAAGGAGGCUUAUCUUCAGUUCAGAUACUAUCUAUUCAUAACGUUCCUAUGCUUUGUUCUGAAAGUUAGGUCUUCUCCUUGUGAGCUGGAAUUUGGUCAGCUCAAAUCUUUACAGUCUCUACCUUCCUCCUUGGAAAUCUUUUCUUCACUUCAGAAAUUAUCUAUUACAAAUUGCCCUAAUCUGAUCUCUCUCGGAAGAUAUCGAGAAGUGGGGACCACUAAUAAUUUCCAUCUCAUGCUCAGCGAUCUUAGCAUAAGUGAUCCAUUGGUGUUGCUAAUGGAGCCCUUGAGAAGUAUCGCCACCUUAAAAAAGCUGAGUAUUUGGUCAAAUGGUAAUCUGGUUUCAUUUUCAAAUGAGGAGGAGCAGUGGUUUCUAAAAGUUAGGUCUUCUCUUUCCUAGCUGCAAUUUUUCUUUCUCAAAUCCUUACAUUCUCUCCCUUCCUCCUUGGAAAGCUUAUCUUCAGUUCAGAUACUAUCUAUUCAUGACGUUCCUAUGCUUAUGGAAUUACCAAACCUUCCUCCCUUUUUGAAUGAUCUAACAAUUAGGGAAUGUCAUCCAGAGGUAUUUGAGCGCUAUGGAGAGGAUGGAGGCUCCGAUCGGCAAAAGAUUGCUCAUAUUCCUGAUAUAUAUAUUAAGUGCUCGUAUUAGGUCCAAUUGCUUUAAGGAAAUUUCAAAAUACAAAAGCAAACUUCUUUCUUCUUAUCUUAUUUGUUUGAUAUGGAAUAUGAAGAAUACAAUCUCAACAUUAACCAGUUUGUAUCACUUGAUCGAUGCACUCAAUUUUAUUUAUUUAUGCCUUGGUGGUCUUUUUAUAUAUAAAUAUAUUCUUCUUUAAAAUCUAAAUAGUUGUGUCAAAAUUUAAUUAUUUGGUUUUUUUUUUCUUAUUGAUUUGUCCAAAUGAAGCAAUCAUUGAACAAUGAUAAUUGCCUUCUCUACUUUUCUUCUUGGGAAGUUAGACAAGUCAUUGUUAACGGUAGUUGGUGUCUCCCCACCGCUUUUCCCCACACUAUCAUCAAUGAAAUUAUAGCAAUCCCUAUUGCUGACCAUUCUGUGGAACUAUGGCUUGGUGAUAGAAAUCUUAAUUUCAAAGAUUUCUAUUCGCAGUACUCUUCUCAGCCUCUGGUUAGUUGGAAAAAAUUCACUUGGCAUAAAAAAUCUUCCCUUCAUUUCUCCGUGCAUGCUUGGCUGACAUUCAAAGGAGCCCUCAAAACUGCUGACGUUCUAGCUUAUAGAGGUCUGCAUACUAUGAAGCACUGUCCGUUCUAUUUUGCCGAACAAGAGACCCAUGCUGAUUUAUUUUUCGAAUGUGUUUUCACUUUCUCUGUUAUUAAGAGAUCUCUUCCUUGGCUUGGUUUGCUUCUUAUGCGUCCUAACCUGCACUAGGUUUUCGGUAGUAUUAUUGAGCAGGGGUUCCCUACCUCUUGUAUAAAUUUUUACUCCCUUCGUGGGCUGUCAUUUAUCAGAUUUGGAGUGCAAGGAACCACAAAAUUUUUGGCGGAUCAUUUGAUUGCCAUGCCACAAUUAUUUUUAAAAUCAGGAAAGCUGUUAUGACUAAGUUUGCUUUAUGGAAAGACUAGCAUGCUUGUUAUUAUUAGUUGCUUCAGUAGUACGGAUGUUCUGGGAGGUUUCUGUGUUGACUUGCCAAUAUUUGGACCCUCGUUGUUUGCUGCUUUUGCUUCUCAAUUGGUGCGCGGGGUGUUAUUUUUGAGAAAGAUAAUGAUGAAUGCUCUUGUUAGCUUGUUGCCCCUUGGAUGGCUUUUGGCAACCAGGGACACAGACUCUGUUUUCUUUUUGACAGCCUUCUCGUCUCGACUUUUGCAUCCAAGUCCUUGCUGCUUAGCAUUUUUUCCAUUUUCACUUUUUUAAUUCCAAGGUGUUCUUUUUUGUUUUUGAGCGCCUUGGUUUACUUUCUAAAUUAUUACCUUUUUUUAAUGAUACAGGCUUUGCCCCUAACCCCCCCCCCCAACACCAAAAAAAAAAAAAAAACCCUAAAAAAAAAAAAAUCCUUACAGACAAAUCACAGAAAAUGUGCGUAAAAUACGCUGCAGCUUCGUGUUCCCAUCUAAAUCAAACUACUCUUUUAUUUUGAAAUACAUUCAUUUUCUUUUUGUAAAACGGAGACGUCAGUCAACUUACCGACUACGAGGCAACUUCGUCUAUUCUCUCAGUUAAUCUCGGUUUACUUGACUUAUGUUGUACGUGACCAUUUCUGGCUGGAGUUCUCUCUCUUCCGAGCUCUGUUUCUCCUGUUGUUUAGUUGUUCUGCUCUCUCUACCUCAUUCGUCGCUGCGAAGGAGGGAUUUUUUGUUGGUCCAUUCAUGGAAAAAAUCAUCAACACUUGCUCUGAUUACCUUAAACAUCAAUUCAGAUGGUAGACAGGCAUGAACCAGAAGCUUGAAAGGCUGCGAGAGAACCACCCCAAGAUCCAAGCUGUCUUCUUUGCAGCUAACCAACCACAAAUUAGCGAUCAGAACCCAUCUAUCAACAAAUGGAUAUGGCAGCUGCGAGAUGCUAUUGAUGGGCAGAUGAUGUGCUCGAUGAGUUUGAGUACAUGAAGCAUUAGCAAAAGCUCCCCAAAAACACUAAAGAAACAAAGCUAACCAACCACAAAUUUGCGAUCAGAACGGCUAUCAACAAAUGGAUAUGGCAGCUGCGAGUUGCUAUUGAUGGGCAGAUGAUGUGCUCGAUGAGUUUGAGUACAUGAAGCAUAAACAAAAGUUCCCCAAAAACAUGAAAGAAACAAAGAAACGAAAGGUCACGAGUUUCCUAUUUGAAAUCCUCGUAAAAUUCUCAAAAUUGGCGAAUGACUCAAAAAGGGAUCCCAACUUUUAAGUGACUGAAGGAGGCUGUGCAGAAACUUGAUAAAGUUUCGGCUGAUGUUACCACUUUCCAUCAUCUUUUAGACAGCGCGAAGCAGGAAUAGAAUGAGCAGGAGGUUGAUUUCUACAAAACACAUGAAACAAGAUAUUUGCCUAAAAAUGAUCUCAUCGGGCAGCGCAAGGAGAAGGAGCUUGUUAUGGAGUGGCUGAGGAAUCCUUCAAAUGACUAUCAAACUACUUUGUAGGGUAACAUUUCAAUAACUCUUCAACACCCCAAACAUUUCCCCCCACUCACUUAACCACUUGCCUGUUGGCAGCUCAAUUCCCAUUUACCUUCUCCCUUCCCUUAAAAGGGGUUUUUCUUUCUGCCUCUACAUCCUCUAUCCUGGACCUGAUGGCUACACCUUUGAAUUUUUCAAAAGCACAUAGGAUGUUACUGGACAACAGGUUUGUUGUACUAUUUUAAACUUUUUCCAAAAAGGCCGCAUUCCAAAAGGUUCCAAAUCCACUACAAUCACUCAAAUCCCAAAAAAAUCCCGUGCAUCUUUUAUCUCCGAUUUCCAUCCAAUCUCCUAAUGUAAUUUAUUUUAUAAGAUUAUUACUAAGAUUAUUGCCAACAGGAUGAAAUGUGUUAUGCCUCACAUUAGCUAAUGAGGCCCUCUCUGAAUUCAAUUCUCAUGGAGCUCAAAAUCUUUUUUGUGCAGAGUUUGAUAUCUUCAAAGCAUUCAAUACAGUGUCAAGAGAAUUCUUGAUUUGUAGGCUCUUACAAAAAGGUUUUCCUAGCACUUUUGUUUCAUGAUCAAAGGCAUGUAUUAUGGAUGUGAAUUUCUCUAUUUGUUUCAAUGGAGCCCUUGAGGGCUAUUUUAGCUCCACCUUUGGCCUUAGGCAGGGAUGGCCCUUUUUGCAUAGCUAUGAAUGCUUUGUCUUGCCUUUUAGAUAAAGCUGUGCUGGAUUCUUCCUUCAAAGUCAUAUCUAAAGGCUACUCUCAACUGACCCAUUUAAUAUACGUUGAUGAACUGCUGGUCUUUGGGUAGGUUACUACUCAAAAUGCAAUCUCCCUAAACAAUAUCCUUAAUGUUUUUGCUAAUUCCUCUGGGCUUCACAGGAACCGGGCAAAAAGUUCUAUUUUGUUUUCAAAAAAUGCUACUUCCUUCCCUGCUAUUUAUAGUCUGUUAAACAUCCCUCUCCCUCUAAAAAUUCACCUACCUUGGCCUCCCCAUUUCUCCUUACAGGCUGAUUUCCUUUUGACUUACAACCUCUUCUUCAAAUAGUAUCUUGAUUAUUAGAUGGUUAGAAAGCUCUAACUUUUGUCUUUUGCUGGGAGACAUCAGUUCUUAAGGUUUACUAUCUAUAACACUAUUGCUGAUUGAUUAAGAGGAGUUAUUAUACCUAAAGCUGGGAUUAAAUUCAUAAACAAGGUAUAAUCCAGAUUUCUUUUUCAUGGUUUUUCUUCGGGGGAAAAAAUUACAUAUCUUUUUGAAAGAUUUUUGUAAACUCAGAUGGUUUGGGGGUCUGGGUAUACUGGCGAUUCCUUCUUUGUACAAUGGCUUUUGCUGCUCUUUAAUUUGGCAUAUUAUUAAUGGGAGCAAUCUCUUGUCUUAUUGGCUGAAGCUCAAGUACAAAUCUCCUUGGAAGCAUCCUCCUAAUAGAGCUUCCAAAUGCUGGAAGCUUCUUUGCUUGGUGGCUUUGAAGAUAAAAGGAUUUAUGAACAAAGACUAUGAUGAAUGUGGAUUUUAACCAUCAUCUUGCUUUUGCUACUUGGAAGGUCUUUCUUUUCGCAACAAGGGGCCUUUCCUCGCCUUGGAAGGCCCACUCGGAAACUGGGGGAACUGACAUCCACAUGAUAAUAUCCAAUUUUUGGGUUAAUUUCAUUUUGUACAUUCUAAGUCCUUUAAGUUUUGCUGUUACUUGUUCCCCAUAUCUCUUAUGUCUCCUGUUUCUUUCCUUCCAGGUUUUGGCUGUUUUUUAGUUUUAGGAUCACUUAUAUGUGCUCUUUGGGAUUUUGAGCUCAUAAUUUUUUGGUUGCUCAGGUUACUGGUUUCAUUUGUUUUUUUUUUCUUUGAGCCAUGCUCUUUGUAAUUUUUCUUUAUACUAAAUGGAUUCGAACUAAGCCCCUAAUUUCUCCCCAAAAAAUAUCAAACAACUUUGUACUACAACAUUUCUCUGCCAUGCAUAGUGGGUCGUGGUGGUAUGGGGAAGACAACUCUCUUGCAACAUGUCUGUAAAAAUGAAAUCACAAAGGAAUUUGAUCAUAAAAAUGUGUGUUUCCCACAACUUUGAUAUGAAAAAUGUGGGGUUGUGUUUCCAACAACUUUGAUAUGAAAAAUAUGUGUUGGAAUCUCUUAAGGAGAGGCCUUGUUUGGAGACACUUGAGGCACUUCAAGAUAGUUUUCGGACUGAGAUGAUGUCCAAAAAGUUCUUAUUUGUGCUGGAUGACAUUUGGGAGAAUGAUGAGAAGCAGGAUAAAACUAAAUUGGAGGAAGUGCUUGCCCCUUUGGCUAUGGGAAUUUUGGUAUUAGGAUUUUGGUAACAACUCGAAUGGACUCAGUUGCAAUGAUGAUUGCAAAUGUCAUUUAAAAGAAGGAGAUAUUUAGGAUUUUUUUCGGAUAAGGGUGAGGAAGGAAUUUUGAUAUUUUAGUCAAAAAUCUUUCUUUGACUAGUUUGAAGAUUUAGAAUACUACAAAAAUCUAGAAUACUACAAGAUGCAUGAUUUACUAUAUGAGUUUGGCACAUAAUAUUUUUGCACAGGAAUGCCUCAAAGUUGUGGGUGAUGAAUUGUUUCCUCUUGUAAUUCUUGGGCCCUUCGACACUUGUCUGUUCCAACUUCAAAUCUAGGCAAUCUUAAGAAAGAUAGGGAAGUUUAAAUAUUUGCAUUUUCUUUUCUUGUUUUGGUACUGUGAAACUUUUAAUUAGGAUAUUUGCAAUAAGACCACCUUUAGAUAAACCAGUAGUCAUUCUAAACCAGCAGUCAUUCUAAAGAAAAUCAUUAGAAGACCAUUUGUAGAUAGUCCAAUAAAUCUUAUUAACAUGCAACCAUACGUAAAUAUCAACCAGAAUGAAGGCAAUUUCACAAACUUCUGUAGCAGUAAUAAUUAGACAUUAACCAAAGAAAAAGAAAACAAACCAAGCAACAUGGAUUAAUAUACAAGGAGCUGCAGUUGUAAUUUCAAAGACCACCAGGAUCUCGCUUUUGGUAAUUGAAUUAUAUAUUUAUAUUAUUAGUAUUAAAUACGCAUUAAUUGAGUUUGAUUAAAUCUCGUUUUUGACAUAGAUUUGAAAAAAAAACUUAUUUGGAAAGAAUUAUAAAUAAGUUUUAAUAAGAUUUAAAAUCUGGUAAUGUUUAAAUUUGAUUCAAAUUUGAUAAGAAAAUAAAUGGUUUAACUUGAAUAUUAUAGUAUUAAGGUCAAUUUAGAUUAUUUAUAGCCUUAAGCUUCAACCCCAAUAAUAAAAUGAAUUCACUGGGAGCAUAAUUUGAUAAUAUAUUUAUCUCAAAAUAAUGUAAUAGCUAUAAAAAUCAUCUCGAUGAAAUUUAAGUUUUUCCCCCUUCUUUUUGGUUAGCUCCUAACACCUUUAUUAAAAAGUACAAAUGAGAUUGCAUGUAUCUUUAAAAUAAAUAAAUCAAUAAAGAAAAUUAAUACGAAAGUUGUUGAAAUUGCAAAAAUUUUAAUGAUGGCUUAGUGGCAUAUAUAAAUAUAUAUACAAUAAAUAUGGAUUAUCAAAAAGAAAAAAAAAUCAUAGGUUAAAGAUGACUUAUCAUUCAAAAUUCAUAGAAAGAAGUUUGCUUAUGUAUUUUGAAAUUUUCCUUAAAGCAGUCGGAUAUGAGGAAUGCAAGCAAUGUUGUGCCAAUCGGGAAUGCAAGCAAUCUUGUGCCAAUCAGAAACUCCAUUCAUUCGAAUGCGCUCCUUUUAACUCUGGAUGACAUUGAUGAAUUGUUAGAAAUUUCAAAGAGGGAGAAAGGUUUGGUAAUUCUCGAAGCAUAGGAACUUCAUAAAUAUAUAGUGAGUGGAGAGAAGAAUGGGUAGGAAGCAAAGAAUUCAGGUACUGCAAUGAUUCGAGACGGACAAGAUUUAAUUUCUCCAGAGAGGCAGCUGAGGAACAUCAUCUACACGUGAUUUCUGAAGUGAAGAUAAGCUUUCCAAGGAGGAUGGGAGAGACUGUAAGGAUUUGAGCUGUUCAAAUUUCAGCUCACAAGAGAUGAACUAACUUUCUAACUUUCAGAAACCACUGCUCUGCCUUAUUUGGAAAUGAUACCAGCUCAUCAUUCUCCUCAAUACUAAGCUUUUCUAAGGAGGCGAUACUUCUCAAUGGCCCCAUUAGCAACACUGAUGGUUCACUUAUGUUGAGACCGCUGAGUAUGAGAUGGCAAUUAUUAGUUGUCUGCACUUCUCGAUGUCUUCCGAGAGAGAUUAGAUUGGGGCAAUUUUUAAUUUUCAAGUAGCUGCGAAUCUUUUGCUAUUUCAUCAGCUAGAAGAAGAGUUGUGAAGUUUCUGUAGCGAGUGACCUCUAAUGUUUCAAGGGGAACAGAAUUUGAAAUGCUACCAAAAUUCGAAGUCUUCCACCUCAUAAUUCCUAUCUUCAAGCUCUUGAGCUUAGGAAGCAAUUGGGGCAACUCUUUCAACUUCGGGCAGUCAAUUAGCUCUAGUUCAAUUAAGCAAGGAAACAAACAUCCAUCUUCAAUUAAGCUACUCCUGCCUCAAAUUAAUCCUCUAAUGCUACAGGUGGUCUUCUAAUAAUUUGUUGUGAAUAUCUAUGAUUUAAGUGGAGUUUUUGUUUCAGCUACAUCUCUUAUUUUUGUGGGUUUUUUGUUUCUGUCUAGUGAAUGUCUCAGAUUUUUGUGUGGCACUGUCGGCUGACCAACUUAUCUCGAGGAACAUUCCUGCUCACUGUCUUUUUUGCAAUUGUAAUCUUGAAACUGCUUCUCACUUGUUCUUCAAGUAUGAUCUCUCUUUUAGCAUUUUAAAAGCUCUUUUUCCUGGGGCUGCUAUUUUCUUGCUUAGAUCUAACAUUAUAUAUGUUUUCAACGA